AUCCCGUUGCUGCUCUGCAGGCUCACAGGUGGCUCUGCCGUGGAUGUGGGCGCCCCAGGCCCCGCUAGGAGUUAGCCAACUCUCUGUGCUCCGGGGCGUGGAUUUGGAGCCCCCGCCUCUCCUACCCUUGCUUUUGGCUUGGGAUGGGGGGCGUGGGGCAGGGCCUGCCGUCGGGGGAGACGCGCAGAGGGGCGCUUCCAUUCCCCAGCCACCUACAAACGACUCAGGGGGAUGCGGGCCAAGCGCCUCACCAAAUGCAACCCAGCUCCAAGCUCACAGCAUAAAUGAUGAAAGUUUCCUGUGAAGCAUAACAAUCCCUGAUUGUGAAAGUACCCCACAAGCAUCGUUAACUAUAAAGUAAGGAAAAGUAUGAAAGAACCAUCUGGU
RNAcentral lists this long non-coding RNA (387 nucleotides) under Homo sapiens (human). RNAcentral's name for it is "non-protein coding lnc-SLC24A2-1:1". The record is from RNAcentral. Lineage: Eukaryota; Metazoa; Chordata; Mammalia; Primates; Hominidae.